CGCUGAGUGGCUCAGGGCUGAGGCUGGCCUCCACCUUGCGAUCCUCCUGCCUCGGCCUCCCCAGCUCGGUUCAGCGUUGAUCUCCCUUCCCUGCCUCUCACCCGCUGGCCCAUGUCCAUUUUCAGGACACAGAGAGAGAGAGGCCAGGGCUCAGGGUUUUCUUGGCAAGUCCCAAAGUGGAGCUGGAAUCCGUCACCCAAGGGCUUUGUUUUCUCUUCUCGAGGUCACUUUCUAUUUGUGGCACCUCGCAGGGUACUGUUUCUCCAGUCUGGUGUGUUAGGAUCAAGUUUCCUCUUAAAAUAGAUUGGAACGUGAAGAGGGAAAGGGAGAGGAUUCAAGCCGCACAGACAACUAAGGGGAAAUGAUCUGGGAUCCCAAUCCCCCGCAGCUGGGGGUGGAGGCCGGUGGGAGGACGCUCCCUCUGGGCUUCCUGACCCCACCCUGAGCUGCUGGGCCCUCACCUCAGACCUAUGGAGUCGGCCAUCUGUGGACUGAGCCCCGUCCCCAGCCCUUUUUUUUCUAUUUUAUUUAGAGACAGGGUCUCGCUGAGUAGCUUAGGGCUGAGGCUGGCCUCCACCUGGCGAUCCUCCUGCCUCAGCCUCCAGAGCCGCUGGGAGGACAGGUGUGGGCCCCUCGCAGAACCCAGGGGACAAGCCCACGUGGACAGGUCUGCAAAAAGACUCUGCAGGGCAGGAUGUCGAAACGGGAUCUCUGCAGAGUCAUGGAGGACCAAACAGGAAGCAGGAGGAGAACAACAUGAACUUCCCAGACUGCAGAUGGCUCCCAGAUCUGGGUGGUGAAAUGCCAAGUGGAUCCAGCAAUAGACGAUGGGGAAUUGAUUGGGAGUCAAAAGGAGAAGCAAGAAGCGUGUUCGUGGGAAGGGGAAAAACGGUCCCCAGUCUCCUGCACACCCAGGAGCAGCCCCUGGGCUAUGGGCACAGCUGAGACCAUUUCACAAGGCAGAUUCGGGUGUCGGGGACAGAAUCAUGGCAUGGGGCAGGAGGAGAGGUACCAGGGAUGGGACCCAGGGGUGCUGAACCCCUGAGCCCCGUCCCCAGCCCCUUUUUCUACUUUAUUGAGAGACAGGGUCUCGCUGAGUGGCUCAGGGCCUCGCUGAGUGGCAGAGGCUGGCCUCCACCUUGCGAUCCUCCUGCCUUGGCCUCCUGAGCCGCUGGGAUGACAGAUGUGCACCACCGAGCCUAGAGUUAAGUACUUGUCUCUUCCUUAGAGGUGCCACAGUAAAUCCAGGUCCCAUCCACUUGGGGGUUUUGGGGGUGGAUUAAAUGAUAGAUGGAUGGAUGGUGGAUGGAGGGUGGAGGGAGAUGGAUGCUUAUUACAGCUACUUAUUUAUCUCUUCCUUUGCAGAUUCUGUAGGAUAUCCAGCAUCUUUCUAUUUGGGGGGUCCUUGGAUGGAUGGACAGAUGGAUAGAUGGACGGACAGAUGGAUAUAGAUGGAUGGAUGGAUGGAUGGACCGACAGAUGGAUAGAUGGAUGGAUGAAAAAUGAGAUGGAUGGAUAAAUGACCGAUAGAUGGACAGAUGCAUAAAUGGGUGGAGAGAUGGAUGGUAGUCCAUUUUGUCCAAUUCUCUUUCCAUACCAGAUGAGAUGAUCGUGUGUGGUUUUUUUUUUUUUUUUUUUUUUUUUGCGUCUCGCAUCGCCUGUGCUGACUGAUUUUUUCCGGGAUUCAACCAUCCUUGCCUUCUUGGCACGGAUCGCAUUCUGGUGGCAUUGUAUGGUAUUUUUCUACCAUUAUUUGGAUUCAGUUUGUCGGUCUAUUAUUGAAGAGUUUUGCCUCUCUCUUCCUAAGAGACAUGGAUCCAUAGUUUUCUUUUUCUUUUUUUUUUUUUUUGGAAGAUUUUUGUGAAGAAUCGAUAUGGAUUCUCCUCCCCACGUUGGGUGGAGUUCAACGAUAAAGACCCGGACUCCUCUUUGUAGGUAGUUGGUCUUUUUUUUUUUUUUUUUCUUUUUUUUGCCUUAUUUCAAUCCCGACUAGUUAUAAAUGUAUUCAGAUUCUCUAUUUCUCUUUUGAGUUGGUUUCGGUAGUUUGCAAUUUUUUUUUUUUUUUUUUUUGCAGAAAUCUGUUCAUUUCGUCUAAGCCACCUGAUUUAUUGGCAUCUGCCCGUUCAGAGCAUUCCUUUAAAAUUCUUUCUAUUUCUGGAAAAACAAAAAACAAAAAAAAAAGGUUCCUUCUUUCAUUCCCGAUUUGAAUAAUCAGAUUUUUUUUUCCAGCAUCUUAAAGGGGAAAGAUAUCUGGAUUUUCAAAAAAGAAGAGUUUUUCCUCAAUAAAUCAUUGAAGAGGAGAGAGAAGUGGGGGGUG
This is a long non-coding RNA of Urocitellus parryii (Arctic ground squirrel), 2317 nucleotides long. NCBI's taxonomy places the organism in Eukaryota, Metazoa, Chordata, Mammalia, Rodentia, Sciuridae. The record is from Ensembl.